RNAcentral lists this ribosomal RNA (460 nucleotides) under uncultured bacterium. Its description in RNAcentral is "bacterial SSU rRNA". It matches the Rfam family "Bacterial small subunit ribosomal RNA", at positions 923 to 1379 of the family's 1533-position model. The record is from RNAcentral.
GCACAAGCGGUGGAGCAUGUGGUUUAAUUCGAAGAUACACGAAGAACCUUACCUGGCCUUGACAUGGUAGGAACCCUUAAGAGAUUAGGGGGUGCUAGCUUGCUAGAACCUACACACAGGUGCUGCACGGCUGUCGUCAGCUCGUGUCGUGAGAUGUUGGGUUAAGUCCCGCAACGAGCGCAACCCUCGUCCUUAGUUGCUAACAGUUCGGCUGAGCACUCUAGGGAGACUGCCUUCGCAAGGAGGAGGAAGGUGAGGACGACGUCAAGUCAUCAUGGCCCUUACGGCCAGGGCUACACACGUGCUACAAUGGGGCGUACAGAGAGCUGCGAUACCGCGAAGUGGAGCCAAUCUCUUAAAGCGUCUCUCAGUUCGGAUUGUUCUCUGCAACUCGAGAACAUGAAGCUGGAAUCACUAGUAAUCGCAGAUCAGCUAUGCUGCGGUGAAUACGUUCCCGGGC